Molecule: ribosomal RNA, 831 nt
Filed under: marine metagenome
Description: bacterial SSU rRNA
Rfam family: Bacterial small subunit ribosomal RNA
Source: RNAcentral
AGAGUUUGAUCAUGGCUCAGAUUGAACGCUGGCGGCAGCCCUUAUACAUGCAAGUCGAACGAGAAAGUUCCUUCGGGAGCGAGUAAAGUGGCGGACGGGUGAGUAACGCGUAGGAAUCUACCUUUCAGUGGGGGAUAGCUCGGGGAAACUCGAAUUAAUACCGCAUACACCCUUCGGGGGAAAGGGGGCCUCUCCUUGGAAGCUCUCGCUGUUAGAUGAGCCUGCGUGAGAUUAGCUUGUUGGUAAGGUAAUGGCUUACCAAGGCUACGAUCUCUAGCUGGUCUGAGAGGACGAUCAGCCACACUGGGACUGAGACACGGCCCAGACUCCUACGGGAGGCAGCAGUAGGGAAUAUUGGACAAUGGGGGCAACCCUGAUCCAGGCAUGCCGCGUGUGUGAAGAAGGCCUUAGGGUUGUAAAGCACUUUAAGUGAGGAAGAAAAGAUUUAAAUUAAUACUUUAAGUCCCUGACAUUACUCACAGAAUAAGGACCGGCUAACUCCGUGCCAGCAGCCGCGGUAAUACGGAGGGUCCAAGCGUUAAUCGGAAUUACUGGGCGUAAAGCGCGCGUAGAUGGUUUAUUCAGUUGGGUGUGAAAUCCCUGGGCUCAACCUAGGAACUGCAUUCAAAACUUAUAAACUAGAGUACGAAAGAGGAGAGUAGAAUUCAUGGUGUAGCGGUGAAAUGCGUAGAGAUCAUGAGGAAUACCAGUGGCGAAGGCGACUCUCUGGUUCGAGACUGACAUUGAGGUGCGAAAGCGUGGGUAGCAAACAGGAUUAGAUACCCUGGUAGUCCACGCCGUAAACGAUGAGAACUAGCCGUUGGAUCUUUA